AGACACUCCAUUUCUUUUAAAAAAAAAUCUAACCAACCCUAAAAUCUACCCUCUGUGCGCUGCAUUUGAUUCGACCAUUGCCCGCCCCAUUCCGAUUUGAAACAGAAGGGAUGAAGGCUCCGGCGGCGCAAUAUGUAGAGCCAACUGGAGGAGGCGCAUGCACGCGGUGGCGCAACACGCGCGGGGGAGGGCUUGGCUGCUGCAUCGCUGGGAGCUGGAUGCUGCUAGGGUUUUGGUUCUGUUUUUAGUUUAGGUUGGGCUUAUUGGGCUGGGGGAUUUUAGGCUAGUAGGGUAGAUUAAAUUUAGGUUUUGGGUUAGUGUAAUGGGUUUAUUUAUUUUGGGCUUUAAAUUUUUUUUAUUUUAUUUUGUAAUCUGAACUUUGGACUUUUAAUAUUAAUAUUUGGUGUCAAAGAAUCACCCACUUCUCCAUCA
Molecule: long non-coding RNA, 432 nt
Organism: Gossypium raimondii (Peruvian cotton)
Lineage: Eukaryota; Viridiplantae; Streptophyta; Magnoliopsida; Malvales; Malvaceae
Exons: 2
Source: RefSeq, a predicted model, not a curated record